This is a long non-coding RNA of Passer domesticus (house sparrow), 5763 nucleotides long. RefSeq lists it as uncharacterized. Lineage: Eukaryota; Metazoa; Chordata; Aves; Passeriformes; Passeridae. The transcript has 3 exons. The record is from RefSeq and is a predicted model, not a curated record.
ACACAGCUGCUGGUGAGGCCAGUCAGUGCAAUAAGGCCUUUGACUGCCCUCACAGCCAUGACUACAUUUUAGAGGUAAAAUGGCACAAGGAAGUGGAUCACAGGAACAGAUUCAUUUGAAUUCCUUGCAGUACAGCAUUUACGUUGGAAUUUCUUAAUUCUGGUUUUUCAAAAGCUCAGCUAUUAUCAUUUAGUGUGACUUUUCUCCACGGAAAUGUACUGACUGACCUCAGUCUGGUGGAAUCUCAGGUUAAAAUCUGAUCAGUUAGCAAGAGAAACACUGAUCUCAUUCCAAUCCCUUGCAGAUUUUUGCCCAAAAAAAUCAUACAGACACUUGGCAGCUUCUAACUCACUUUGGGAAGAUCCAAUUUUAGAUAGUUGAGAACAAACUAAUUCAAGAAGAAGCACAUCACAAGGACUGCGAUGCUUUUAAACAUGAUACUCAGUUGACCUGUGUUUUCCUCUUUUCCUGUCUCCCAGUAUCAACUCAGUAGUGAUCUCACAGAGCCCUUCCAUGCUUCUCCCCGGACAGAUAACUGGUAGCCAGACCAGCUGGGCAUUUUGGCUUUGUCUGGGGGCUGGUUUUUUUCCCCUCCCUUGCUGCCUUAAGCUGAGAAGCAGCCUCAGAGCUCACAGAAUGCCGACAGUGUGACUGCCUGUGGGCAAAGGAAGCUGGUUUCUCCCAGGUCGAGUAAGUCACUAGCAAAUGUGUUUCUGUUUGGACUACUUGUUGUGGGUUGCUCCCAAAGGAAUUGACCAAUGCAGUACUCCUUCCCCCAAAAUAGUGAGCAAACAAGAUAAAUCCAGUGACACUUACACAUGAAAAAAUAGAAGCUGAUUAAACACAAGGAACAGCUCAGAACUAGGGGCAGGAAAGCAAAAUGACACAGCCAAGAAAUGGAUUAAAGAAAUAAAUCGGUCGAAUCAACUUGAAACGCCAGGAAGAGCUUUUUUGUCCCUGGCAAAUUCACUUGAGCAACUGAUCAGUAACAGAAAGGAGAGCUGAACCACGUGUCAGGCAGGCCAUAGUCAAGAACAGCCACAAGCAGAGGUGCUCUCAAGACCCCCAGCUGCAUUAUCAUCUGAAUUUCAUUAGUAUUCUGAAUAGCACCCCUGAUGAAGUUGACUGGGAAAAAAAAGAUUUAGAAGUCACUGAUCUUGCAGGCAGUUUGACAUUCAGCAAAGAACAAGGCCUGAAGGGAAGGAGAUAGCCUGCAGGUUAGGAACAACCAGCUGAACCCUGGAGAAACUAACCCCAGCCUCCAGAAGAGCUUUGCUAGAGCAAGGGGUUCAGGCAGGGGCUGAGGGAGGGGUGCACUUCUAAGCCUCUCCUCUGAAUCUGACACAGGCAGGAAGCCUUCAAGUCCUCAAAAUGUUCUGUUCAUCCAAGGCUGGCUGGAAAAUAAGCUGGCCACCUCCAUGGGGUGGGAAACCUGAUGUGGAGCACAGCUGGUGGUGUCCUGCUGAUACCAAACAAAGGGGCUCCCACUCUUCACUCUGUUGACUCAGUUAUCCUGAGUCUAUCACAAGGGAGGACAGCGUGUGUCCUGUGAGCAGGAGAUGGUGAUGUAGGAAGAACAAACAGCCUCUUAUGGGGACGGGAAUUAUCAGGAGACCUGACAAUAACCCUUGCCAGGGACUUUCCCCGUGCUUAUUAACCAUCCAAAGCAAACUGAGCUGCUUUUUCCUGGGCCAUGAGGUUAAAGACGGUCUCUGUUUAACACACAGUGUCAGGUGUGCCGACAGGGAGGCAGGCUGGGCUGUGGGUUUUUUUACGCUGCAGAGCCACCCCAUAUAGAGGAAAGUUCCUAGGGCUGCAUGCAGAGGUGGACGCGACCCUGAAACAGGGAAGAGGCUGAAGGAGACACAAGACAGCAGCCAGAAUCCUUGAUCUGAUGCUUUGGAUUGACUGAGUGCAAGUUGCUGUUCACGUGGUGCUUAGCCUAUGAUUUAGCAAACAAGAGUUUCUUGCGCAAUAGAUCGUAAUUCCUAAUGGGAGCUGGAUCUUGGUUUUCCCUCCUCAAUGCCUCGGUAGUGGCUCUUCUCCUAAAAUUAUUGAAUGGCACCACCUUGUGGGUGCGCGGAGGUGCGGAGACUUUUCCAUCUUUAUUCCAUGUGCGGACCCUGCAGGGGCACAUCUGAACAGCGAGGCGUGCAAAGGGGGAUUCGUUCUCACGCUGCUUCUCAAAGACCGGGCACUCAUCAAUAAGUGCUUUUCUGCUUGUUUGCUGCCAGCUGACAGAAACAGAUUUUAGUGCUUAGGGGUUGAUUUUCAGAGCUUAAUUGAUUUUGCCGUUGCUAGAGGUUGUAUCGGAAAACUGUAAACAGACAAAAUAAUUGGCACUUUCCAAUUAUAGAGGAAGUGCAGAGGAAAAACACUGAAAUACACAUUAAAGAUCAUCUGCCCAGGAUGCCACUUCUUAUCUUUUUCCAAGGUGUGAAAUCUAUGUGUCAGCUUGUCCAUGCAUCACACAAUUCCCUAAACUCCUGAAAGUAAGGUGUAGUGGGAGAAUUUACCAUAUUGUACUGUUGAGUUUGCCUUUAGGGAUUACCCUGGCUGUGACAGACAGCACAUGUCCUAAACUGCAGUUUCUGGGAAGCACCAGACAUAUGUUUGUGAAUAGAACAGCCUGUGUACAUCGACUCCAAGACUUUCCAGAAAGCACUGGCUGCAUGUUGUGUAUUUUAUACAGCAUUAAGAAUCACGUUACCAUGGGUAUGCAGGAACCCAGGAUGCUAAACAGGAGCUAUGGCACAGUGGGACUGUGCAUGUAUGGAGUCCCAGGUUUUUUGGUCAAGUGGGAUUAUCAUGUAUAAACCCAAGAAGCUCCACUAAAUCUACCCAGACAAGAUUUUGCAGAGUGAAGAGGAUGAUGUCCUAAAAAAAUGGAUAUAUUGUAGCCUAAACCAUAUCAAGAAAAGAACAGAAUCUUAAGCAGAAUAUAGACAGGUGGGCAGACACAUCCAUACAAUUCUAUUGUCCACAGGGGAAAAAAAAAACCAUAAAUAAAUACAAAUGGUUAAACUGCUAAUUAAAAUUUUCAAGCUUGCUUCUCAAACUCGGUUUCAAUUUUGGAAAGAGCAUUUUCCUUUCACAGUGUUGCCUCUCCAGCCAUGUGCCUGUCCAGUUUUUUUCUAGGCAAAGUUACAAGGGCUGGAUGAAAAGCUGUGCCAGAGAUGUGCUGAGACACCAUGGGCAGAACAACAUGGUCAAAGCAAUGUGGUCCACAAAGUGAGGAGAGUGCCAAGAAAAGGGAUGGGGAAAGCUUGCCAGGGGAUUAGGGAGGUUUCUGAGAGCAGGCAUGAAGUUAGGAGUGGGAAGGCACCAGGCCACUCAAAGCAAGGCUCUGCAAGGGACAGUUUGCUGUGUGUUCCCAACAACCCGAGGCACCCACCAGGAUAACCCCAUCUGGAGUGUUGAAUGAGCACAGAGUGAACAACAGUCCUGUCCCCAGAGCACCUGCAGCCUGACAAUAGCCCGGGAUGUGCUGAGGGGAGAGCGUGAGCUGUGAGAGCAGGUGGGUGGUGUGAGAGGCAGCAAUGCUGGCACAUCAGCAGCCAGAGCUCUGUGGUUGCUUUUUCCAGCCGUGACAGUGGAGCACAGUUUAAAGCAGGGAUCUGGAAGAAGAAAAUGAGGCAGGCUUAGAGACAGUGGUGGGGAUUUCCUCUUUGCUGCCCUGAACACACUGCCUGUGUGGGAGCAAAAAUGAAGAUGCUUACUUGGAAAUUCAGAAAACUGAUAACAGCAGUGACCUCUGGGAUAAAUCAGAAACUGCUGUCAAUAUCCAGUUUUGAAGAGCAAUAGUAGGAAGGAAGGGAAUUUACAGGCUGAUGUCAUCAGUAGUGAAUGUUUGCAAAAGGGAUUAAAGGAAGUGAGGGAGCCCCUCUAGUGGGAGAAUCCAAGAAAGGCAAUCUCAGCCAUUAGCUGGCAAAAUGAUUCUAAUGCAGCAUCCAGGAUGGUUGCAAAUGUGAAUCAAGAUUGUCCCAAAAUGAACAGCGUGGCAUCAUUUAUAUUAUGUAAGGUAAAAUACCCUCAAAACUGAAGAAAACAUCCAACAGUUUCUAACCAGCUGAUCACAAGAAAAGCUUUUCCUGACUUGAUAUCUGGUGAAGGAGCCAAGACUGAGCAUAUGAACAGAACACCCCUAUGAUGCACACAAAUUUUAAAUCAUGUAGAAACAGUAGCAUAUUUCAUAGUCUUUUGGCCUGUACUCCAGAACUCCCUGUUCAUUCACCAGGUGCUAGGGAAGGUCACAGAGACACUAAAAUGCUCAAAUUAAAUAAUGGUCCCACCUCUUGUGUGAAUCUGAGGUAGCCAGAAAAACUUGCAGCAUGUCAAAAACAUAAUACAAUGAGAAAGGAAAAAGCAUAGUCCAUAAUACAAAGGGAAAGGAAAAAGCAUAAUCCAUAAUACAAUGGGAAAGGAAAAAGCACUGUCUGCCUCCAUUACUAGGGGAAAUCACUGACUCUGUGUCCACCUCAGUUUCCAAUUUGUAAAGUAGGGUGAAGAGCAGUUCUUCACUCUUAUAAAAAGGCACAUGUCAAAAAUCAUGAAGGCUCUGAAAUGCCAACAUGUUCAGGAGAGGGAACCAGCUUAGUGUCUGGGCUUGAUGUGUAGUGGCACCAACUUUAACAGCUUGCAGAUUCUGUUUUAGCACUGAGCUGCCAAACAGGACAGCAGACCAGCAGGGCUGCAUUGGGAGAGGACAGCUCCAGCUGCAGAGCAGGCUUGCUUAUGACAGCCACCUUCUGCUCCAGGAGCCAUGGCUGUCAGGAGGACAAUGCCUCUGCCUGAUGAAGAGGAUGAGGAAGAUAAUGUCCAUUAGACACCUGUAAUAGUUUAACACUUGGAUUUUAUCCUGCAGCAACACAUUCAAUAUUUCCACCUAUUUAUGUGGUGUUUUAGGGCUGUAUUUGACAGGCUUUAAUGUAAACAUGGUAUUGCUGGCACACCAAGAGCUUUUUUUUUGGCAUUGCUUUUACAGAGUCUUUACAUAGAGUGAGUUGAUGUGUGACUCAUAUAAAUUCAGAUUUUUUUCUUACUUUGAGCAGAUGUGGCCCCUCAGUGUGAGCCUGAAAACAGUUGGGGUGUUGCUGGGGUUUAUUUACAAACCUCUAAGCCAGCAGUUUCAAAUCUGGGUUAAAGUUAGAUGCCUGUUUCCAUGACAGAUGGUCUCAUUUUGAGAAGGAGUGAGUCUUGACAACUGGGGCUGGCUGGGAGAGUGAAUUUCUGUUUCAUAAAGACGAUUCUAUUUUCAGCGUAUUUUCAGAUCCCAGAUCAAGAUUUAAACCUCCAAAUUCAAAUAUCGUUUAGGGAUGAACAACAUUUCAUCUUGCCAGCAUCAAGGCUCCUGCUGAUCCCUGGCUGCUGCCAGUGUUUAUCCAGGCUGCUGCAAGAACGAGGAGUGCUGUCUGUGUUGUCACCUGCCUGACAGAGCUGGGGGGUGUCAGGGGUGAAGGCUGGCUGGGAGCCUUUCUCAGGGGGUUGUGCACUUCCCAAUGGUUGUGCUCUGGGGUUCAGGGAACAAGUCUGAGCCCGUGGGCUGUCCCUGUGACUUGGCAUGGCAGGAUUGUGUUAGGGGGUCCCUGGGCUCCACAGCAGCCCUGGAGGUAAAAGGACCAGAGAAGGGUUGUCAUAGAAACCCUGACUGUUCUUUAGCCCUGACAGGAUCAGAUCUCAUCAGAGGCUUUUCUGGAGCAACUCAAGGAAAAGCAUUUCCAUAAAAAUGUUCUUGUCCUUCCACUGCAGACUCCAGUUACAUUG